UAUCUCUGAUUCAUACAGUCUCGUCACAGUUCAUGUGUGUAUUCACACCUGUUGGUUUACAUUGACGUAUGCGAGUAUUUGCCACUUCACUCCUGUUCUCAAACACGUGGCAUGCAGAAAAAGGUCAAUGAAACCGCGAUUUGUUCUCUGGUUUAGUUUUAUAUAACAUUAUGUAACAAUUGGAUAAUUCAGUUAGGACAACUAUCAGCGAUUCGCUCUACGAUUUGUGUCUUUUUCGUAAUUCUUAGAAAAUUAUAAUUUAUAUAUAUACAUUUACAAUUGUAUAUGUACAUCAAAUAAUGAAUGAAACUGUACUGUUGCAUUUUUAUAAGCUACAUAAGUAUGAUCAAAGGUUCUUGUCGGUAACUAAGAAGAAUGACCUGAGUGGCACACUUGACUCAAAUGAUUCCGUCUAUACCAUCACUGAUGCACGGAAGGCCUAAGGCUUCCGAAUGGUAGAAUCAGAUUGGCGACGCGUAUUCAACCAAUUGGAAGCUUCAUGUCUUCUCUGCGUCCGUGGUAUGAAUGAUAUCUUUGUUCAAAUAAUUUUCGUGGCAAUUGUGACGUCUGUCUAAAAACUUUACGAAUAGUUUGACACUAAUGCAACAUAAUGCAUUUAUAAGAUUGCAUGCAAAUAGGGCAACCCCAAAUCCUUCAAAAAAGAAUUCAAGAAUUCAAGAAAAUUCAACUCAGCAGUGGAAAGAGCCUCACCCGAUGUAUCGAAAUAUCAAGUUGAGAAAAGAAUCUGAGAAAUGAAUCAGAUCGACGUUACCUCGACGUACAUUUCCCUUGUUUGUUCUUUCGCGAACAAACAAGCUCAGACGGUAAGUAUGUUAAUUCUCAGCUCCCGAGAUAAUGUUGCAAAGAAGCGACGCGUCGUGUCGCAACAGCACGUAAAAUAAAAGUCAAAAAUAUAUGGAUCAAAAGAUAAAACGAUUGCUUCGUCCGUGAAGUCGCGGCGCGACGGAUGGACAGAAAAAUAUGCCACGAACUCAUUGUCGAGCACCGCGUGCGAACUAUAAAACAUAUUUGCCGAGGGCUUGUCGGCGCAAACACGGGAGCAUUCAAUAUUUACCGCCAGACUGCCAUAUCGAUGUAAUCAAUUCGCACGUAGCCCGUGGACUGGUUGCAUCAUUUCUCCGUUCAUUAUGAAAGGUCCACGUGUGCGCGUAGAGCGUCGAUACAUAUUUCGAAAUCGAAAUCUUAUUUGUGGAAAUACUUUAAAUCGACCCCAGAAAAUCGAUCGCUUGAUGGAAAAAUCAUGUAACCAUAUACGAAUUUACGUUAUACAGGGUGUCCCAAAAAUGUUGUAACACCUUGAAGGGGGUGGUUCGGGAGGUGAUUUGAAACAAUUUUUUCCUUAGCGAAAAUGUUGUCCGAGGCUUCGUUGAGGAGAUAUUAACGGAAAACAGUGACCAAUCAGAGCGCGACUAUGCCGGUGGAGCGAAGGCUACGCGCUAAACAGCCGCGCUCAUACGCUACCGCGGCCGCUCCACCGGCAUACUCGCGCUCUGAUUGGUCAGUGUUUUCCGUUAAUAUCUCUUCAACGAAGCCUCGGACAACAUUUUCGCUAAGGAAAAAGUUGUUUCAAAUCACCUCCCGAACCACCCCCUUCAAGGUGUUACAACAUUUUUAGGACACCCUGUAUAAAUUAACAAACUAGAAUUAGUAAGCAGUUACAGAGUCUCGUGAUUCUCAUCAUCGAGUUGAAAAACUUGCGGUUCCUCUGAGAUCCACUUUCUAUUUUUAUCCAGCAAUUCUUUUGUUGGGAGUAUGGCAUUACACAAGAAAGGGGGUCACGAUUUAUCCCAGUGACAGUAAUAUUCUGUGGAGAGUUUGUUCUACGGGAAGCAGUAAGUAGCGCUGUCUACGAUUAUGUGGACACACGUGGUUCAACGUUUGCGUGCAAAUAGAUGUCAUUUUUUAUUGCACAUUAGGUUCGAGGCUUUCUUGGUCGGUGUUAUAUUACAUUUAGCACCGUUCGGUGGUCGUCUGCGAGGAUGUUGCGGCGUUUCGUCACGAUUGUAAAUAAUACCUGUUCAUUAUUAUCGAAACGUUUUUACGGAACGUGUUUGUUCAAGUAACGGAAGAUUUUUACAGUUAUAGCUUCGGUAACCGUUUUAAUUAUAAAAAAUUCGUUCGUUAAACAUUCUAAAUUUUACGCAACAAAGAACGGCUAAACAAUUCUUCGUCUUUUAGUAGCUAUUCGAAAUUUAGGUUUAAAUAAGAAUUUUGCCAGUCACUGGACCCGUUCAUCGUGGAAGGAAUUUUUAAUGUGUUUUUCUUAGCACGGAAGGUUCUUGACCGAUCGCUUCCAGCGCGCUGUAUGCUUUUCGGGGAAUUCCAGAACAGGAUUAUGCACUCUGUAGCAUAAGGACACUCGUAUGAACUAUCGAGGUUAGUAAAUCAACUCGUGGCGUUCUUCCUUCUUCCAAGGAAAGAUAAAUUUGAACGUAAAACGAAAAACAAAUUGUUUAUCAAGAGGGAUGCUAAUUUAUUUCUCGAGGUUAACAAUCUACAAGUUUACGAGGUAACCACGAAGACUGUAUAAGGAGUCCUAACUGUGUAGUGUAGAAGUGUUAUCAAAAUCCCGAGCUUGACGUUAUGAAUACGGCGCGGGUGGUCAUUUCGUCUCGAAGUACGCGCAAUUGGACCCACUUUGUGCCUCGAUUAUUGUGCGAAGACGUACGUCGAUCAAUCAUGCUUCGAGACGAACGACAAAUCACUCGGUUGCGAUAUUUCGACACGCAAUUUCGCGUUCUCCAUUCGUGCACGCUGCAUCUCUCUAUUUAUACUUCGAAGAGUAGUCACGUAGACGUGACGACGUCAGCACGACGUCACACAUUGGUUCGCUAUGCCACGGAGGCGUGGCUUAGCCAGUUAGUAGUCACAGGAUGCAGUUUAUUGGCCGCAGGAGUCGCGUAGGCGUGACUUCUAAUACUAACGUUAAUUUUUUUAAAAUUACACUAUUUUAAACAUUUUUCUUUGCAGAAUAGAGAUGUAAAGUUAUCGAUGAAAGAUUAUUUAGAAGAUAUAUUUAGAAAAAAUCCUUUUUCUACUUGAUUCGAGCAUGAGUCAACGAUUAUAUUUUUCUUCCUAGAGGUGCAAUGCAAGCAACAAAUUUAUGAAAGCGCCGGAUCACUGAUAGCAGCGAUACCGUCAAUGAAACCGUAGAGGCAGCAUUGAUAACAGCUGUCUACGGAGAUUCCACCUGUGAAAGGGACCCGGUAUCGAUAUCUGCACAGUCGUAAUUCGACUCGCAAAUGCGCGAGCAUUUCUGCCAAGCGUUCUGCACGCUCGUGUUCUUAAGCAUAAGCCUGCAAGAUAUAGUCCAUCGGGCAUUAUGAGGUAUGAGCAAGUUAUCAGUAGGCACCGAGAAACGUGCAAGAUGGCACGCACGCGCUACCUUGCAAUUAUAAUCCAGAUUUCAACCCAACCUAACCUGACCAAAGCACUCUGCCUGACUCUGCCUAUAUCAUACUGUGAUUUUGACGAGAUGCAUGGAGAUAUCGUAGAUAGGUUUGUGUAAGUAAGUGGAAAUGUCCCAAGCAGCUGUGGUACAUCGAAAGAUCAUACCUGCCCUCCUCUAUCUACAAUAUCUCUAUGGAUUCCUAUCAAGAAAUAAUUAUACGUCUCCAUAAACAAGCCAAUUACCGUUCGAUAUCUUCAAUCAUCCCGCACCGUGUAGAACCCACGCUCCGCACGUGUGGUGCUUGUGCAAUUUGGGGAAUAAUCAUGACCGAUAUUCGCAAUCAAAUUCGAAGUCUGUUAUCGCAACUAGUGUGUUUUUACAAUAAACAUCGAUGAAUUCUGACCUUCCUGUAAGAUAACAGCCCCCAUCGACAGAUUAAGACGAUUUAUUGCUGCAAAUUUGACACGCGCAUUCGCGCGAAUAUACAACCGCGAGACGAACGCUCU
Hylaeus anthracinus is the source of this 3918-nucleotide long non-coding RNA. RefSeq lists it as uncharacterized. The transcript is spliced from 4 exons. NCBI's taxonomy places the organism in Eukaryota, Metazoa, Arthropoda, Insecta, Hymenoptera, Colletidae. The record is from RefSeq and is a predicted model, not a curated record.